AUGUGUUUUUAUUUAUACCAAAGUCAACUUCGGGACGUGCUCUUCCAGAACGGAGUUCCUCCUUUUAACCCGUCGUUGGCUAUUCUUUCUCCCACAAGCAUCAUUAGCACCACUGCCCCACCCAUCGAGCCUAAGCUAACAAUGGAGGCGACUGGUCUGAGCGUAGGGAAGUCUGUGCUGAAUGGAGCGCUCGGCUACGCCAAAUCCGCGCUGGCGGAGGAGGUGGCGUUGCAGCUCGGAGUCCGCCGCGACCAGGCGUUCAUUACUGAUGAGCUGGAGAUGAUGCAGGGUUUCCUCAUGACUGCACACGAGGAGCGAGACGACAACAUGGUGGUCAAGAUCUGGGUGAAGCAAGUCCGCGACGUUGCCUAUAACGUCGAGGACUGCCUCCAGGAUUUCGCCGUUCGUCUAGACAAGCAGUCUUGGUGGCGCCUCCCUCUGACGCUGCUAGACCGCCGGCGCGUCGCCAAGGAGAUGAAGGAGCUUCGGGCCAAAGUCGAAGAUGUCAGCCAGAGGAACGUGCGCUACAAUCUCAUCAAUACCACGGGCUCCAGGCCCGCUGCCCCUGGUAGGCAGCCCAGCAUCGCAGGUACAACAAUGCUUGGCAUUCAGGACGCAACGAAGCAGGAAAAAUCAAAGGUGGAUCUUGUCCAGCUGAUAAACAAGAAGGGCACCGACCUAAGGGUGAUCACAGUGGGCGGAAAAGGUGCUGAUCUUGGGCAGACACCGAUCAUAUGGGCAGCUUACGAGGAUCCAGAGAUCAAAAACAAUUUUCCGUGCCGAGCAUGGGUGAGGUUGAUGCAUCCUUUCAGUCCAGAAGACUUCGUUCAAAGUUUAGUGGAGCAGUUUCACACAUCAGUAGGGGUUGACAUUCUGCUGGAAACGAAAAAGAUGGGGCAAGAGUUAGCUGAGGAAUUCAAUGGAUAUGUCAAUGCCAAGAAGUUCCUGAUUGUGCUUAAUGACUUAUCAACCAUUGAAGAGUGGAAUCGGAUUAAGAGGUGCUUCCCAAACAAUAAGAAAGGGAGCCUGAUAAUAGUGUCCACAAGGCAAGUUGAAGUUGCAAGCUUAUGUGCAGGACAAGAAAGCAUAGUAUCUGAGCUCAAGCAAUCGUCUAUUGAUCAGAAUAUUUAUGCUUUCUAUGAGAAGGGUUCUCAAGAUGGAACAGAUUUAACGAUGGUUGCCGGGCCUAGCUCAAAAAGUGCAGUCACCAAUGGUACAGACCAAUCUCAGGGUGCUGAUUGGAAUCAUGCGAUGAGAAAGAGCUUCAGUUGCGCUAUGUCCAUGACAACUGCUCUAGAGGAAUCACAUCUUGUUGGUCGAGACAAAGAAAUGAAAAAGAUCAGAGAUCUUAUUUUUGCUGAAGCUGGUGAACAACUUGAGGUGAUCUCUGUGUGGGGAAUGGGUGGUCUUGGGAAAACCACACUGGUCGGAGAUGUCUAUCAGCAGAUCAAUUGCAAGUUUGAUAAGCAUGCUUGUGUCACAAUCAUGCGACCUUUCAUUCUUGAGGAGCUCUUUGGGAGCUUAUUUAUGCAACUAGAUGCAGAAUCUUCUGAAAAGAAGGAUGUGGUGGGUUUGUUGGGCAAUGCAAAGAAAGCAUCACCACCGAUGUCUCUUGCAGAGUUGGUUAAUGAGUUGGCCAAGCUUAUAGAAAAAAAGAGGUCCUUGAUUGUUCUUGAUGAUGUGUCAUCUACUGCAGAAUGGGACCUGAUAGUGCGAAAAUUCCCUAAAAUGACAAACGGAAGCCGGAUCAUAGUCACUACAAGGGAAGAGAAUAUUGCUAACCUUUGUUCAGUGAAAAAGGAAAACAUAUAUAAGCUUGAAGCUCUGAAAGACAGUGAUGCGCGUGUCCUCUUCACGAAAAAGGUAUUUAAAGAGACUGCAUAUCUGGAUGAAAAGCAUCCUGAGCUGAUUGAACAAGCAGAACUGAUCCUUAAGAAGUGCAGUGGACUUCCUCUUGCAAUAGUCACUAUAGGUGGGUUCUUGGCAAACCAACCACAAACAGUGGUGGAGUGGAGGAGAUUGAAUGAGCAUAUUAGUGCUGAGUUGGAGAUAAAUCCAAAGCUUGGGACCAUAUUAGCUGUGCUUACUAAAAGUUAUGAUGGUUUACCUUAUCACCUGAAAUCUUGUUUCUUGUAUCUCCCCAUCUUUCCCGAAGACUACAAGGUUAGUCGGCGGCGUUUGGUGCGGAGGUGGACGGCAGAGGGUUACUCAAGGGAGGUACGUGGUAAGUCUGCAGAGGGAAUAGCAGACAAUUACUUCAUGGAACUUAUAAGUAGGAGCAUGAUCUUGCCAUACCAACAAUCAAUUCGCAGUAGAAAAGGAAUUGACGCUUGCCAUGUCCAUGAUCUCAUGCGUGAAAUUGGCAUUUCCAAGUCAAUGGAAGAAAAUCUAGUGUUUAGGCUGGAGGAAGGUUGUAGCCUGAACACCCAGCACGUUGUGCGUCACCUUGCAAUAAGCAGCAAUUGGGAGGGAAAUCAGAGUGAUCUGGAGAGCAUAAUAGAUAUGUCUCGUGUACGGUCAAUAACAGUUUUUGGAAAGUGGAAGUCAUUUUACAUUUCUGAUAAGAUAAGGCUGCUCCGAGUGCUGGACUUGGAAGGUACCUCAGGUGUAUUUGAUCAUCACCUUGAGGACAUUGUCAAGCUUUUUCACCUAAAAUACCUUUCUUUAAGAGGAUGCACUCCUAUUUGUCACCUGCCAGAUUCUCUAGGCAACCUAAAACAACUUGAGACACUAGACUUGAGAGGUACACAGAUAGUCAAGCUACCACAUAGCAUCAGAAAACUUCGGAAGCUAAACUAUCUUCGUGCUGGUAAGGAACCCAUGGACGAGGACAUCUCGUAUGAACAAGUUGUAGAAGACUUGCCAGCGGUGAUGAGGAACAGUGCAUGCCUUUUGACUGCCUCGUCGAUGGUACUUUGUGCACGUUGUUUUGCAGGCUCAGAUUUUAACGGUUAUAACCACCGUGACUUGUGCAGUGCCUUCUGUUGUGUGGCACUCCCUGUUGUUGCGAUGAAGCUGGACGCACAUGGUGUGGUAGUGCCAAGAGGGGUGAGAAAACUGAAAGCCCUACACACACUAGGUGUUGUGAACAUCUCACGGGGGAGGAUCAUUCUUCAGAACAUAAGAAGACUCAGUGGGCUGCGGAAGCUAGGAGUGACUGGCAUCAACAAGAGAAACAGUCUGGAGUUACAAUCAACAGUUUCUCAACUCAGUCGCCUGGAAUCCUUGUCGAUGCGCUCAGAAGGGAUGCCUGGAUUAUCUGGCUGCUUGGAUGACAUGCCCACUCCUCCAGAAAACCUGCAGAGCCUUAAACUGUAUGGCAAUUUGGUCAUAUUGCCUGCAUGGAUCCAGACACUCGGAAAUCUUGUGAAGCUGAAGCUACGCAACUCUAGGAUAUUGGACCACAGAACAGCCAUACAAGUCCUCGGGGAGCUGCCGAUGCUAGCCAUCCUGUGUCUAUGGACGAAGUCGUUCGAAGGAGAGGUCCAUUUCAGUUUCGAUCAACGGGCAUUUCCGAGCCUGGUGGUGCUGCACCUGGAUCACCUAGAUGGCCUCAAAUCGCUGGAUUUUUCACUGCGAGGGACACCUAAGCUUGAGGUAUUGCAGCUUUCUGAGACCUAUAUCCAGGAACGUUGUAGCGGGCUUCAACACCUCCCAAUGCUCAAGGAAGUUGUGCUCAAGGGAGACUACCCAUGCGUCGAGAAAUUGCGUGCCGACCUUGCCAAGUUCCCCAAUCGACCCGUUGUCAAGUUGAACUGA
RNAcentral lists this ribosomal RNA (3759 nucleotides) under Triticum aestivum (bread wheat). RNAcentral describes it as "partial small subunit ribosomal RNA". Lineage: Eukaryota; Viridiplantae; Streptophyta; Magnoliopsida; Poales; Poaceae. The record is from RNAcentral.